Molecule: non-coding RNA, 510 nt
Organism: Paramuricea clavata
Lineage: Eukaryota; Metazoa; Cnidaria; Anthozoa; Malacalcyonacea; Plexauridae
Source: the annotation of a GenBank genome assembly
AUUUGUCAGUGGCAAUUAAGCAGAUCAAUUUAGGAUAUAGAUUCGUGUCUCGCUGCUUGUUUAUGAGUUGGGGUCAGGGUGGGGAUUAGAGUUAGCAUUCAUAAAUAGCGAGACAUGAAUCUAUAACCUCAAUUUACCAACGCGUUGAUUCCAAAGCAUAAAGAAUUACUGUCACACCAUGAUAUUUGCUGGCUUAAUUUCCUGCUGGCGGGAAUUUUAUGUGAUCAGUCGUAUAAUUAAACCACGUUGUCGCUUGAUAUAUGUAAAAUUGAAACCCAGACAAAGUAAAAAUGUGUUAUUCAAGCUUUAACUGGAUACUGUUUUUAGCAAAGGAAAAGUUGGAAAUUUUGCGUAUGCAUAUAUAUCUGAAAAAAACAUGCAUAACUUGCAAAAACAACAGCGCAUUUAACCUUGCUUUUACAUCCGAAAAUGACGUGUCAUUGCCAUAGACAUCUUAUAUACACUAGAUAGUGCAUCUAUAUAAUUAUUCUACAAUUCAAAAAUUGAAGC